CCUCGAUCUCCUGACCUCAUGAUCUGCCUGCCUCAGCCUCCCAAAGUGCUGGGAUUACAGGCGUGAGCCACCGUACCCGGCCAGGGCUGUGAUAUUCUGAUCAGCCAGCACUGAGUCACAUGGCCACUAUUAGGGUGAGGGAUGAUAGGCUUAGCUCUGACCUGAAAUUCAUGGAUUGAGGGGUGGGGACUGUUUCCCAGGGGAACACUGGGACAGCGUUACCAGGGGAAGGGGAGUGGGAUAUAGUUGGGCCAAAACAGUAAAUGUCCACGAGGCUUUUUUCCUCUGAGCAGAAAUUUCACUGUGAUGCCAGUCAGGUAUUGCUGCCGUAAGGGCCAUAGCAGGAGGGAGACUGCAAAUCUUGAUUGAGGAGAUCUUAAGAACAGAGUGAUUUACACAGCUGUGGGCAGGAUGUAGGGGAACCCAGAAAGGAUAAUGCACUACCCAGCGGCCAGCGACAGCAGGAGCUAUGAGCACCCCAGGCCUGAAGGUGUGAAGGGCUGAAAUGGUUACCAGAAGCAGGAGAGGGAAGCUUAUGGAGAGAGCAGGCUGGCGGGAGCAGGGGCUGUGAGAGAGACAGCCAGACCGUAGCGGUGUGACAGGCAGAGAGCCAGGCGAUCCAUAUCCUGUCUCCUCUCUCUUCUCCGCUCCUGACUCCUGCUGCGGCCUCCCACUGGCUGGACCCAACAGGAAAGCAGAGGAUAAGAGAAUCUGGUUGGUGCUAUCUAGAAGUCAGUGUUGGGGAGGUCACAGAACAGAAUGGAGAGGGGUAGAGUAUGCAGGGAAGAUAAAUGCAGCCCUGGCAUGGUUCUUCCAGAACAUUCUGCAAGCUCAUGGACCAGUUCAUUUGAGAAGAAAUAGAGGAGUUAGGGGAGAGAGAAGCUUCUUAAUGAAAAUAACCUUGGUAGCUAGUCUCAAGAUUAGCCCCCAGUGCUCCCCACCUGCUGGUAUCCGUUGUACAACACUUCCCACAUUUUUCUGGGGUCGUUUUGUGUAACCAAUAAAAUAUGGCAGAUGCGAUGGCAUGUUACUUCUGAAAUUGGGUUAUAAAAGGUACUGCAGACCGGGCACGGUGGCUUACGCCUGUAAUCCCAGCACUUUGGGAGGCCAAGCCUGGCGGAUCACAAGGUUAGGAGUUCAAGACCAGUCUGGC
This 1153-nucleotide long non-coding RNA is filed under the name Homo sapiens (human). RNAcentral describes it as "lncAB401.1". The record is from RNAcentral. Lineage: Eukaryota; Metazoa; Chordata; Mammalia; Primates; Hominidae.